UAACUCUGUCAUCCUCCUCAUUGUCAGUGCUAAGAUCCUCAAACUCAGGUUCUUCAUCAACCAAUUGCAAUCCCUUCCCUUUAUCUAUAAAUAAACAAGUGAAUAUAUAUUUAAUCGAAAUGAAUAUGUUUUUUUAAAGAACACUUUAAAGGCAACUUAAGUAAUGACACUAACCUUUUGACAUAGUUUUUGAUGGCAAAGUGUUUCUCUUUCUCUUUUGACUUCCUUGUUUACUACUUGUUCCCCGAGUCCCUUGCCCUCCAAGUGUAAUCUCCCUCGUCUCUUCUCCCC
Molecule: long non-coding RNA, 291 nt
Filed under: Panax ginseng (ginseng)
Lineage: Eukaryota; Viridiplantae; Streptophyta; Magnoliopsida; Apiales; Araliaceae
Description: long non-coding RNA (PGIN_LNC010450)
Source: RNAcentral